AGCUUUGCGCAGUGGCAGUAUCAUAGCCAAUGAGGUUUACCUGAGGCGUGAUUAUUGCUAAUUGAACACUUUCCCCAAUACUCCACCAUGACGACUUGACAUAUAGUCAGCGGUGGCAAUUUUUGGCAGUCGCUAUGGGGG
Cebus imitator (Panamanian white-faced capuchin) is the source of this 141-nucleotide small nuclear RNA. Its record names the gene U4. It matches the Rfam family "U4 spliceosomal RNA". Rfam says of the family: U4 small nuclear RNA (U4 snRNA) is a component of the major U2-dependent spliceosome. The structure of U4 snRNA from yeast and human has been reported. Lineage: Eukaryota; Metazoa; Chordata; Mammalia; Primates; Cebidae. The record is from Ensembl.